This is an RNA transcript of Otolemur garnettii (small-eared galago), 3404 nucleotides long. It is a transcript of the gene named inorganic pyrophosphatase pseudogene, with no coding region annotated. The transcript has a single exon. NCBI's taxonomy places the organism in Eukaryota, Metazoa, Chordata, Mammalia, Primates, Galagidae. The record is from RefSeq and is a predicted model, not a curated record.
GCUACAGACUACAUCACGGCUUUGCUGUCAACCAGAGUGUAAACAGCCUCUUCUAGUAUAAAGGAGGCAAAACUUUGCUCAAGAUUCAAGUAACAGGUGCAUUUUAACCCCAUGCCCUGGAGUUAAAGCAGAACAAAAGAAAGGAGGAAAAAGAAAGAAGAAAGUUGAAGGGAAAAAGGAAGCAGAAACCACACGUGAGGAGAAACUAACAAAAAAACCUGCUUUGGUAAUAUCAAGAACCAGAACAGAUCAGCUUCCCCAGGGAUUACAAAGGAGCUACCAUAGAAGAUUCCAACUAUAACGAAAUUUUGGAAAUGACAGAAAUGGAAUUUAAAUUUUGGGUGGCAAAUACAAUGAAAGGAAUGGAAGGGAAAGUAAAAAAACAGCAGAAAAGUUUAAAAAUGAUCACAGGGAAUAAACAAAAUCAUAGAUAAAGUCACCAAGAAUCUGGAAAUUAGAAAGAAUACAAUGGAGCUUAAAGAAUUGAAAAACUUCCAGAAUAUAGUAGAAAGUUUCAAUAAUAGAUUAAACCAUGGAGAAGAAAGAAUCAUAGAGCUUAAAGACAAGGCUCUCAAGCUAACCCAGUCAUUUAAAAAAGCAGAGACGAGUAAAAGCAGAGCAGUCUCUCAUAGGACUAUGCAGUGUACAAACAUAAGAAUUAUAGGUAUUACAAGAGAAGAAGAGAGUCCCAAAAGCAUGAAAGCUCUAGUUGGUGAUAUUAUAGUUGAAAAAUUCCUAAGCAUCACACAAGAUUCAUACAUACACUUAUUAGAUAGAUAUUGAAGCCCAGGGUGACUCAAUCCAAACAGAGGAUCUUCUAGACACAUUGUAAUUAGCCUGGCCAAAGUCAAAAUGAAAGAGAAAAUUCUGCAAGCAGCCAAGCAUGAGCAGCAUCUGACUGUAAGGAUAAACCAAUUACGUUAACACCUAGCUGAUUUCUCAGCAGAUACUUUACAAGCCAGAAGGGAGUGGGCAUCUAUCUUUAAUCUUCUCAUACAAAAUAACUGCCAGCGUAGGAUUCUGUAUCCUGUAAAUCUAAGUUUCAUAUUUGAUGGAGAAAUCAAGUCUUUUACUGACAAGUAUACAUUGAGUCAAUUUGCUACUAUAAGACUAAUUAUUCAGGAAGUACUCAGAUCUUUUUUAUACACAGACUAAUACACGGAUCCCCAGCAAAGAAAAGAUACCUGGAAACUACAAGACAAAGCCUAGCUACCACUAUGGCCCAAGUGAUAAAAUAAGGCAACAGAAUUGCACACAGUGAGACAAACAAAUCCACUCUACGCAUCAGUUCUCUCAAUAAAUGUGAACAAAGAGAAUUCUCCACUCUAGAGACAACAACUGGCUGAGUAGAUUAUAAAAAUAUAAAUCAAGUAUAUGCUGUUUUCAGGAAACACAUCUACUGCCCUCCCAUCCCCAGGCAAAUUAAUACUUAGAGUAAAGGGAUGGAAAACAAUAUUUCGUGUAAAUGGAAACCAAAAGAAAGUGGGAUUUGUUUUCAUAUUGUAGAUACUAUUGACUUUAAAGGAAGAAAAUUAAAGAAAGACAAAGAUAGGCACUGUAUAUUGGGGGUCAAGUGAGCAAUUCAACAAGAAGACAUAUCAGUCAUAAAUAUGUAUGUACCCAACUUAAAUGCACUCAUGUUUUAUAAAGCAAACUCUACUUGGUCUGAACAGUAUGAUAAACAACACCACCAUAAUCAUACCUAGGGACUUCAACCCACUGACAGAACUGUACAGAUCCUCCAAGCAGAAAUCAAACAAACAUUAGACUUAAACAUUACUCUAGAAAAAAAUGGGCUUAACAGACAUAUACAGAACAUUUCACUCCAAUAUUACUGAAUAUAUGUUCCUCUAAUCAGCUCAUGGAUCAUUGUCCAAGAUCAAUCGUAUCUAUAUCACAAAUCACCCUCAACAAAUUUUAAAAAGUGGAAUAUACCUUGUAUCUUUACAGACCACAGUGGAAUAAAAGUAGAACUCAAUUCCAACAGAAACACUCAUCCCCACACAAAGUCAUGGAAACUAAACAACCUAUUGCUAAGUGAUACCUGGGUCAAGGAGAGGAUAGAGAUUGAAAUCCAUAAAUUGCUUGAACAAAAUGACAGUGAGGCCGUUAGCUACUACAACCUGUAGGACAGUCCUCGCGCUACACAGGCGUGAGUUCUCCUUAUUAGUUGGUGCUGCUUGUGGGUUGAUGGCUGUAUGGCGGUGGCAGUCACAGAUAGUCUCUGGCAUCACGAGUGGCUUCAGCAGUGAGAAGCACGCCACACCCUUCACCCUUGAGUACCAAGUCUUCCUCAAAAAUGAAAAAGGACAAUAUACAUAUCUCUAUUUCAUGAUAUUCCAAUUUCUGCAGAUAAGGAUAUGUUCCACAUGGUAGUUGAAGUACUAUGCUGGUCUAAUGAGAAAAUGGAGAUUGCUACAAAGGACCCUUUAAGUGCAAUUAAACAGGAUGUGAAAAAAGCAAAACUUUGUUAUGUUGUGAAUUUGUUCCCUUAUAAAGGAUAUAUCUGGAACUAUGUGGCCAUCCCUCAGACUUGGGAAGACCCUGGACAUAAUGAUGAAGAUACUGGCUUUCGUGGCAACAGUGACGUGUUGAAAUUGAUGUGUGUGAAAUUGGAAGUAAGGUAUGCAUAAGAGGUGAAAUAAUCUGGGUAAAAGUUCUGGGCAUAUUGGCUAUGAUUGAUGAAUAGCAUACUGACUGGAAAGUCAUUGCCACUAAUGUGGACAAUCCUGAUGCUGUAAAUUAUGAUAUUUAUGAUGUCAAACAACUAAAACCUGGCUACCUAGAAGCUACUGUGGACUGGUUUAGAAGAUACAACGUUCCUGAUGGAAAACCAGAAAAUGAGUUUGCUUUCAAUGCAGAAUUUAAGAUAAGGACUUUGCAACUGUUAGAAAGCAUUAGUGACUAAGAAAACAGAUGGGAAAGGAAUCAAUUGCAUGAAUACAACAGUGUCUGAAAGCCCCUUCAAGUAUGAUCCUAAUACUGCCAAAGCCAUUGUGGAUGCUCUGCCACCACCAUGUGAAUCUGCCUGCAUACUACCAACAGAUGUGGGUAAGUGCUUCCAUCACCAGAAAAACUAAUGAGAUUUCUCUGGAAUAUCAGCUAAUACUUCUGCAUCCUAUUCAUCUGGAAGUAUUAGAUAUAAAAGUAGUAGCCUCUCCAAGCCUUAAAUAUGUAGAACUCAUCUAACUAAAGCAAAUUCUGCUGUAAACAAUCCAAUAUAUUCACAAUGUUAUCUGUCCAAAGCAUUUUUCAUAUGUCAACUAAGAUAACUUUAGUACAUGCUUAAAUAUAAAAGCAGUUGUAAUUUGGAUGUUAUUUGUGAAUAGAUGCAUAAGAAAAGCACAUAUUGGAUGUAUAUGUUUACUGUGUGUUGGGAAAUAAAAUUAUUUUACUGAAAAAAA